This 1310-nucleotide unclassified non-coding RNA is filed under the name Hevea brasiliensis (rubber tree). The record is from RNAcentral. Lineage: Eukaryota; Viridiplantae; Streptophyta; Magnoliopsida; Malpighiales; Euphorbiaceae.
AAAAAGGAAAAAUCCAAGUACCACGUGACAAUUCCAGUUUCUAAAUCAACUACCAAGGAGAAGCUAGAAGGUAAAUAAUUAAUAAAAGCAUUGGAUUGCCAGAUAGAAAAGGUGGAAAAUAAGACCCUAUUCAUCAUCCCUUUGGAGAGAGCGAGCGAGAGAGAGCUCAAACUUUUGCAGGUGGGGAAAAAGAAUCAACCCUACUAAACAACAGUGCCCAUCGAUGAUGUACAGAAGGCUCUAAAAUACAGUCAACAGUGCUCUCAGUAUUCAUCUUCCCGCCUGAUCAAUGUUGCUGUUGCAGUGUAUUAGUUAGGCAAUUAAACAAACUCCUGAAAAUUUACAUUUAGUUCUCUGCUUGCUUAACGACAUCUUUUGGUUCAUCUUUGCUGCUGGCCUCAGCAAUUCCUUCAGUUUUUACAGUUGUCUCAUCAUCAGAAGCAAUAGGAUCCACACUUGGAUUUUCAAUACCUGUUUCUGAAAAUGCAGAAAGAAUGGGUGUAGGGCUUUCAUUUGUUGCAUUUGGCAAUCCUCCAGCAACAUCUGGAUCACCAUCACCACCUUGAUUCUCUGAAUCACCAUUUGGCACGAGAGUUACAUUGGAACCAGAAAGAUAAUUGAAAUCUGGUGUCUCCCUCCAUUCAACCCAUACAGGUGGUUUAUCAUUGGCACUAGUUUCUUUUACAUCUUUAGAUGAAUUGUUCACUGACGUAUCAUCUAUACUUAGUUCAGGCACAGGAGAAGAUGAUGCAAUGCCAUCCAAGUCGACAUCUUCUCCGACCAUAACUUGAUCACUGCCUGCACUAUUAACACCACCAGUUUCAUCAUUAUUAGGCGAAGGAGAAGCAUGUGCUCCUGCAGAGCGUUCAUUGGCAACUCUGUCAUCCUCGAAAGCAAACCAGUUGGAAUUUGUAAAAAGGGAGCCACUCUCCUGGUUAUCUCCCAAACGCAGAGAAGAAAUAACAACUUCAGCAGAUUCAUCAUCAAAAUAGACAUCCUCAUCAUCUCGUUCAAGUGAUCCAUGUGCCUCAUCAACGUCAUCAUUGCCAUAAAUGCCAUAUCGAAAUGCCUGGCUUAAAUUAUUUGCUAGGGCUGCAACAUCAUAAUCUCUAUCUUGGUAAUCAGCAUCAUCACUAUCUCUCCGGUCUUGUAGAGCAGUUGGCCUCCCGCAGGCCCACUGAUAGACAUUUUCCACUGCAUUACGCUUUAUUAAGACAUUUGUAUGCCAAUCAGUCCAUUCACUAUUUUCCUGCAAGCAUGCCAGAAUAUCACCAUUGUUAGUCCCCAAUUGAACAAGUUUGUUGGAUAUA